This 619-nucleotide small RNA is filed under the name Pongo abelii (Sumatran orangutan). RNAcentral's name for it is "processed transcript". Lineage: Eukaryota; Metazoa; Chordata; Mammalia; Primates; Hominidae. The record is from RNAcentral.
UCUCUUUGGGUCUCUCCCAGCUCUCCUCUUCCUGGCCUGGCUCCUCUCUCUAAUCCUGCCUCUCUUCCUCUUCCCCCAUUGCCUUGUCCCUUCUCACUCUAGGCCCUCACCUCCAGCCUCUGGCCCUGACCUCGAGCUGUGUCCUGAUUCUGUCUCUGCCCCAGGACUGCAGGGCUCCAGGAGGUGCAGCGGCCUGGAUGGGGAACCCGCCCGCCGGCCCGCCAGGGAUGGAAGCGACAGGAGUCUCAUUAGCAUCUCAAUUAAAGGCGCCUCCAUAUGGGUCGGAGAACCAGACCUGCAGGGACCAGGAAAAGGAAUACUAUGAGCCCCAGCACCGCAUCUGCUGCUCCCGCUGCCCGCCAGGCACCUAUGUCUCAGCUAAAUGUAGCCGCAUCCGGGACACAGUUUGUGCCACAUGUGCCGAAAAUUCCUACAACGAGCACUGGAACUACCUGACCAUCUGCCAGCUGUGCCGCCCCUGUGACCCAGGUGAGUGGGGAUGUGCCUGCGCGGGGGCUGGAUCCCCUGGAGCUCGGCCCCUCCCUGAGCCCUCCUGUCUCCCCACCAGUGAUGGGCCUCGAGGAGAUUGCCCCCUGCACAAGCAAACGGAAGACCCAGU